UUGUCAUUGUAAUCACGGGGGUAAGUCUAACCAAGGGUCGAUGUAGUUUUCAGUGGUACCUUCAGUACCAACUCCACUGAGCCGGUCUCCGAUCUUAAUCUUUACUAGCCGAGCAAGCCCAGCCAGGCUAUUUGACCUCUCUGUGAAAACAGCGGAUGGUCCAGAUCGGUUGCAGGAAGCAGGAAGUUAAUGCAGGAAGACUGGACCCAUUUUGAUAUACAAGCGUACCCUCUCCUCAUUCGCCAUAAGGACGAGCCAUCAACAGAUGGAAGCAGGUUGGCGUCAGUUGAGUAGAGAUUCUGCUCUCAGCCCAACAGCUCUUACAGCACCCGUGCCAAAGAAAACCUCUACAUGUUGGAAUUACCUGUCUGGCUCGUGACUACAAACAGCCCUCACAGAAAAAUCUCAGCAUCUCUGGCUGCUGUUCUCGGGACCUCUUCCUGAAGUCAAGAUUCCUUGAAGUCAAUUCCUUUAUUUGAGCCACAGUCUUUUCUCUCUGGCCAGUGCUUCCUGCAGAUGUAUCUUUUCAAGAAACUAACCCUGGAAAUGGCUUGUGACAUACCGUCUGACUCUAACGCGCAAAGAACAAAUUGGCUCUCGGACUCGUUAGAUGCCAGAUGAACUGAUGAACUGAGUUUUUGGUCUGAAGCCUUGAUAAGGUCAGACGUCUUUGCAAAAAAUAAAAAGCUACCACUUCCUUGGCUUCAGGCAGACUGGCCUUUCCCCGGCAAGAUGCAAUGUAAUUGCCAAUAGUUGCAAAGUGAUAUUUCCUGGACAGACUUAUGUAUUUCCUAAGUCUCCCUUAGCACACAUUUACAGCCUCACUCAAAGAUGGUUAUUCCUGGUCAUGGGUGGCCCCACCACAGAAGGCGGUUGCCAUAUCAAAGGACAGUUCAGUGAAGAGCUGGCAUGCAAAAAUCCGGAAGACUGACUCUUUCUGUGUUCUUCUACUGGCCCUGAACCUGGGAACUCCGUCUACCCUUCUCUCUGGAAGCUGAGACAAAGGAUCUCCGCAGCUCACGGAUUGCUCGCUUCGUGCACGACACAAAUCAGAUCUAAGCACUCCGUCCACCCUCAGGUCUGUCUUCGGCCGUCACACACUGUGGCUUCUCCCUUCUGCCAAAGCCAGGUGGAAGGAAGGCGAAGCUGGUACCAGGUGUCACAGUGACAUUCAGCACUGAAUAGAAGAUACACUCGCUUUUGAAAUUUCAACGAAACAAAACGAUCCUCUCCUAUUUUUCGGCCUUUUUGCUCCGUGCACAAUUGAACGCAAGUUGAUCUGGAUUGGCCUUCUUGGUUUGCCUUUCACUGCCACAUUUCAGAUUAAGGUUGGAUGUAUGAGCACGGGACAAAAAGAAGGAGAACACCAUUGCCCGAGGCGUUUACUUCAAGAUGGUUAACUGGGCAAGUUCCAUUCUUCACUAACGGCGGAAGGCGUGUUGUUAUCUCAUCCCUCCCUAUUUCUGGGCUGCUCGGAUCCUUGCACUGGCCUGGCACCGGCCAUGGCUUUCCCUGGACACUGGAGGCUCUGACUCAUCUCCACCCAAACUUUCAGGUUUCCUGAAGGCUUGGUUCCCCAGACGUUGGCGCCCCACCCAGAUCUUCUUUGAUACGCCAGUUUUUAGGAAACUACCUGCUGAAGAGAACCUGAGGCAGAGGUGAAGAUUUGCCCAGCUCACCCCGUUUUAUUUCUGACACAGCGACGGGAUAACCUCAGAAGCCAGGGAGGUGAUUUCAAUGAGAGGUUUAUUGGGCACAGAGAAUUUAUUUGGUUUCUGCUCUAUUUUUAUGAUCUUUUUUGGUAUUAAAGUAACGGUGGUUGGGGCACCUGGGUGGCUCAGUCGGUUGAGUGUCCGACUUCGGCUCAGGUCACAAUCUCGAAGUUCG
Molecule: long non-coding RNA, 1887 nt
Organism: Prionailurus viverrinus (fishing cat)
Lineage: Eukaryota; Metazoa; Chordata; Mammalia; Carnivora; Felidae
Exons: 5
Source: RefSeq, a predicted model, not a curated record